CAGCCGCCGCGGGAAUACGUAGGCAGCGAGCGUUAAUCGGAAUUACUGGGCGUAAAGCGUGCGCAGGCGGUUUUGUAAGACAGGCGUGAAAUCCCCGGGCUCAACCGGGGAGGGUCAUUGGAAACUGGGAAACUUGAGUGCAGAAGAGGAGAGUGGAAUUCCACGUGUAGCGGUGAAAUGCGUUGAGAUCGGAAAGAACACCAACAGCGAAAGCACUCUGCUGGGCCGACACUGACACUGAGAGACGAAAGCUAGGGGAGCAAAUGGGAUUAGAUACCCCUGUAGUCCCUGUCUCUUAUAU
This 301-nucleotide ribosomal RNA is filed under the name uncultured bacterium. RNAcentral describes it as "partial 16S ribosomal RNA". It matches the Rfam family "Bacterial small subunit ribosomal RNA", at positions 509 to 809 of the family's 1533-position model. The record is from RNAcentral.